RNAcentral lists this transfer RNA (74 nucleotides) under Myotis brandtii (Brandt's bat). It matches the Rfam family "tRNA". Rfam says of the family: Transfer RNA (tRNA) molecules are approximately 80 nucleotides in length. Their secondary structure includes four short double-helical elements and three loops (D, anti-codon, and T loops). The record is from Rfam by way of RNAcentral. Lineage: Eukaryota; Metazoa; Chordata; Mammalia; Chiroptera; Vespertilionidae.
GCCGGUAUAGCUCAGCGGGCAGAGCGUCGGCCUGCGGACCGAAAGGGUCCCGGGUUCGAUUCCUGGUCAGGGCA